Molecule: ribosomal RNA, 263 nt
Filed under: uncultured bacterium
Lineage: Bacteria
Description: partial 16S ribosomal RNA
Rfam family: Bacterial small subunit ribosomal RNA
Source: RNAcentral
AAUGGCAGGUACAGAGGGGUGCUACCGGGUGACCGGAUGCCGAUCUCGAAAACCUGUCCCAGUUCGGACUGGAGUCUGCAACCCGACUCCACGAAGUUGGAUUCGCUAGUAAUCGCGCAUCAGCCAUGGCGCGGUGAAUACGUUCCCGGGCCUUGUACACACCGCCCGUCAAGCCAUGGGAGCCGGGGGCGCCUGAAGUCCGGGACCGCGAGGACCGGCCUAGGGCGAAACUGGUAACUGGGGCUAAGUCGUAACAAGGUAAC